Triticum urartu is the source of this 115-nucleotide non-coding RNA. NCBI's taxonomy places the organism in Eukaryota, Viridiplantae, Streptophyta, Magnoliopsida, Poales, Poaceae. The record is from Rfam.
CAAGUACUCCCUCCGUCCGGAAUUACUUGUCAUCAAAAUGGAUGUGUCUAGAACUAAAAUACAUCUAGAUACAUCAAUUUCAAUGACAAGUAUUUUCGGACGGAGGGAGUACAAG